AGUGAACGCUGGCGGUAGGCCUAACACAUGCAAGUCGAACGGCAGCACAGUAAGAGCUUGCUCUUACGGGUGGCGAGUGGCGGACGGGUGAGGAAUACAUCGGAAUCUACUUUUUCGUGGGGGCUAACGUAGGGAAACUUACGCUAAUACCGCAUACGACCUACGGGUGAAAGCAGGGGAUCUUCGGACCUUGCGCGAUUGAAUGAGCCGAUGUCGGAUUAGCUAGUUGGCGGGGUAAAGGCCCACCAAGGCGACGAUCCGUAGCUGGUCUGAGAGGAUGAUCAGCCACACUGGAACUGAGACACGGUCCAGACUCCUACGGGAGGCAGCAGUGGGGAAUAUUGGACAAUGGGCGAAAGCCUGAUCCAGCCAUACCACGUGGGUGAAGAAGGCCUUCGGGUUGUAAAGCCCUUUUGUUGGGAAAGAAAAGCAGCAGGUUAAUACCCCGCUGUUCUGACGGUACCAAAAGAAUAAGCACCGGCUAACUUCGUG
RNAcentral lists this ribosomal RNA (492 nucleotides) under uncultured bacterium. RNAcentral's name for it is "partial 16S ribosomal RNA". It matches the Rfam family "Bacterial small subunit ribosomal RNA", at positions 29 to 507 of the family's 1533-position model. The record is from RNAcentral.